This 502-nucleotide ribosomal RNA is filed under the name uncultured bacterium. Its description in RNAcentral is "partial 16S ribosomal RNA". It matches the Rfam family "Bacterial small subunit ribosomal RNA", at positions 30 to 523 of the family's 1533-position model. The record is from RNAcentral.
AUUGAACGCUGGCGGCAUGCCUUACACAUGCAGGUCGAACGGCAGCACGGGAGCUUGCUCCUGGUGGCGAGUGGCGAACGGGUGAGUAAUACAUCGGAACGUACCCAGGAGUGGGGGAUAACGUAGCGAAGGUUACGCUAAUACCGCAUAUUCUGUGAGCAGGAAAGCGGGGGAUCGCAAGACCUCGCGCUCUUGGAGCGGCCGAUGUUGGAUUAGCUAGUUGGUGAGGUAAAAGGUCACCAAGGCGACGAUACGUAGCAGGUCUGAGAGGAUAGUCGGCCACACUGGGACUGAGACACGGCCCAGACUCCUACGGGAGGCAGCAGUGGGGAAUUUUGGACAAUGGGGGCAACCCUGAUCCAGCCAUGCCGCGUGAGUGAAGAAGGCCUUCGUGUUGUAAAGCUCUUUCGGCGGGGAAGAAAUGGCAACGGCUAAUAUCCGUUGUUGAUGACGGUACCCGCAUAAGAAGCACCGGCUAACUACGUGCCAGCCGCCGCCGUAA